AAAGCGGGGUAGUUCCAAAGCAAAGGGGUGACUUGACCGAGCUUUUUCAAAAAAAACAAAGAGAAUCGACGAUUUAGGGGUCUAAAUCGGCGAUUUUGACUUUUGGAUCUUUUUUUAACAGAGCCGUGGACAACACUCUUAACUAGCAGACGAUAUUCUCAGGGUGAAGUCGGCGAUUUCUGAAGAAAUCUAACCAAAGCUUCAGACAAGAAUCAGCUACUUUUGAUCUAAAUCGGCAAUUUUAGUUGACAGAGUCAGCGAUCUCUCCGAGAGAAAUCAAGCCGGACUUUGCAAAAAAAAUUCGUGAUUACGACGGGAUACCAGUGGUUUGGUAGUCCCACAGAUGGCGCCAUCUGCUGAAGCACUGAAUCUGCUACCAGGGGCUCGUGGUGGUGCGAGGAGGACCGGAGGCUCUACGUCAAAUCCUGUCGGAGAAGAAUAGGCGAUUUAGGUUGUAGCGGAACAUGUGUUUUGCGUUUGAGUGGCCCUUUAGGAUCCUUUUUAUAGAGCCUCGAGGGGCGCACUCAGCGGCGGACAUGCGCCCGUUGCCAUAAUAGGGUGCAUUUGUGGCCCAUUAUGGCGCGGGCAGGCGACGAGUAACGAUCGUAAAUCGACGAUUCAAAUAUGGAUCAGAAUCGCCUAUUUAGUGGCAAACUCGCCGAGUUUCAAGGGACAAGAUGUUCAGUCUACAAUGCUGCCGAUCUUGGCCUUAACUCUGUGAU
Molecule: long non-coding RNA, 722 nt
Filed under: Zostera marina
Lineage: Eukaryota; Viridiplantae; Streptophyta; Magnoliopsida; Alismatales; Zosteraceae
Description: long non-coding RNA (ZMAR_LNC000131)
Source: RNAcentral